Molecule: long non-coding RNA, 566 nt
Filed under: Equus caballus (horse)
Lineage: Eukaryota; Metazoa; Chordata; Mammalia; Perissodactyla; Equidae
Description: lncRNA (ENSECAG00000031185.3)
Source: RNAcentral
UGUCGAUGCUGGAUACGAGAAGUGGCCAAGGACAUGAGAAAUGCCAUGGGAGGAAAGAGCUCCAUGGAGUGGGAAUAAUGGGAUUACUUUUCAUUAUUCUUGGAAAUUAUCCUUUUUUCAACCCACUUCAUCAUUUCUUUAGUCAACAUGUCCUCACAUUAUGUAAAAGAAGGAAACAUAACUUCAUGAAAGGGAAGAGAAAUACCCAAGCUCUUUUCCCACAGAAGGAACCUAAAUGAAAAAAAAGAUCUGGGCAAAGUAAUAUUUGUGAAGAUGAAGACACUACACAGUAAAAUCACAUCAAGAGAAUGUUAUCAACCUCUUUUUAACUAAAAGAAUGAAAAUGAAAUGAAAAGGAAUAUUUCAUUGACCUCUUAAAAUUAAUCAAAGACUUUAAAGGUGCAAUUCAGUUACCAGAAGUAAUGAAAGGAAUGGAACCGGCAAGGAACCGAGAUACAACCUGCUCUCAAGGAGGCUGGACUAGGUCAUUCCAGAUUUGCAUCAGCUCUGGGGAUCAUGGCAGUCAGACUAUGGGAUCUUACCCUAGUGCUGACCAUUAACGUAAA